GAUGAAGAACGCAGCGAAAUGCGAUAAGUAGUGUGAAUUGCAGAAUUCAGUGAAUCAUCUAAUCUUUGAACGCACAUUGCGCCCCUUGGUAUCCCGAGGGGCAUGCCUGUUCGAGCGUCAUUUCACCACUCAAGCCUGGCUUGGUGUUGGGCGACGUCCCCUUUGGGGACGCGCCUCGAAACGCUCGGCGGCGUGGCACCGGCUUUAAGCGUAGCAGAAUCUUUCGCUUUGGAAGUCGGGGCCCCGUCUGCCGGAAGACCUACUCGCAAGGUUGACCUCGGAUCAGGCAGGGAUACCCGCUGAACUUAAGCAUAUCAAUAAGCGGAGGA
RNAcentral lists this unclassified non-coding RNA (329 nucleotides) under soil metagenome. Its description in RNAcentral is "partial contains 5.8S ribosomal RNA, internal transcribed spacer 2, and large subunit ribosomal RNA". The stretch from base 1 to 120 matches the Rfam family "5.8S ribosomal RNA", at positions 35 to 154 of the family's 154-position model. The record is from RNAcentral.